Molecule: non-coding RNA, 124 nt
Organism: Hordeum vulgare subsp. vulgare (domesticated barley)
Lineage: Eukaryota; Viridiplantae; Streptophyta; Magnoliopsida; Poales; Poaceae
Source: Rfam
CUUGUACUCCCUCCGUCUGGAAAUACUUCUUCUAGAAUUAAAUAAAAUGGAUAUAUGUAUAACGAAAAUAAGUCUAAAUACAUCCAUUUCUAGGACAAGUAUUUCCGGAUGAAGGGAGUAUCUA